AGCAGACCCAGGCAACUAUUGACGCCACCCUAUCAUCAUCAACAGAGAAGGACUUUGUCCAUGGCUGCACUAUUAAAUAAUGCCCAUAAAUAACCCAAUGGCCCCUGAUGAGGAUGUGUGCGUAGUCCGCUGGAUUGCUGAAUUUAGCGAGGUAGAAGUUGUGCUCUAAAUCCACAAGCUGAAAUGUGCCAGUAGGCUACCAAAGACUCUAGAGACAACCAAACAGGGGAUGGUAUCCAAUUGCCCUCGCCAGUAAUCUUAUAACCAUCGAGUCCUUCAUAGAUUGAACGAGGAAGCUAUGUACCCUUUUAUGCUAAUUCAUCUCUUAUUUGUAGGUAGAAAAAUCUCGCACUCUUCUUAUGUUGACCCUCCCUUUUUCUUUUCAGUCGCCCUCUUUUCUCUUCAACUCUUUU
This 413-nucleotide long non-coding RNA is filed under the name Carica papaya (papaya). Its description in RNAcentral is "long non-coding RNA (CPAP_LNC008398)". Lineage: Eukaryota; Viridiplantae; Streptophyta; Magnoliopsida; Brassicales; Caricaceae. The record is from RNAcentral.